Neofelis nebulosa (Clouded leopard) is the source of this 2347-nucleotide long non-coding RNA. RefSeq lists it as uncharacterized. The transcript has 6 exons. NCBI's taxonomy places the organism in Eukaryota, Metazoa, Chordata, Mammalia, Carnivora, Felidae. The record is from RefSeq and is a predicted model, not a curated record.
AUCUUCCCAGACCUCAUCUCCCCAGGACCCCAGGGCGCCAUCUCCCCAGGACCCUGUCUCCCCAGGACCCCGGUCUUAGAGUUCUGCCCAUGACACAGGGACCCCGAGGUGCUGGAAAGGGGACACGACACAGCCUGGGAACACUACUCAACCCUGGGCUGGGCAACUCCAGCCUGACCUCCCACCUGGCUCUAGGGAAGGGAGGCCACCUACAGGGGUGACAGAGCUGGGACCUCACACAGAGCAGCCUGGCCCGGAUUCCAGACACUAACCGGACCUUCCAUUGCCUGAGUCCCAGAGACACUCAGGCUGGGCGGGCCCUGUACCCUCCCUGGGCUCCAUUGGCUCCAGUCUGUCUCCCCCCGGGGCAGCCCACCCUGUUCCCAGUUUUCCUGACGGGAGGGGGUUAGUCCUGCAUGGCCUGCACCUGCUCAGGAGACCACGCCUCCACUCUCAUGGGGGACCCAGAUCCUUCCUUCCCUUCUUGGACCCUCGCACACUUUGGUGGAGAUCUCGAGCUGGAUGUAGGGGUCUUUGCACAUUUUCACUCAGCGUUCCAGAGGCAGACUAGGCAGAGGGGGGCUGUCAUUCCCCCGAGACGACAGGAUCGCCUCCUUCUUACUUCUUGCCUGGGACCGAGGUAGCCUCGAGCUUUUAGAUCAUCGCCACGUCAGCGGUGUUGAGCGCUACUCCUGGACCCAGAGUUCAUCACUAGUCUCGACUGCGGCCUUUACCGAAGCGUGUCCCCCCCCGGCUCAGGGAGACGGGGACAGGGAGAACUAGUCUCCGGGCCUCUGCUGCCUCCAGAGAGAGGGUGUCGUGUCGUGUGUGGGGCGUGCAGGUGUCUCAGCCCAGCAGGCCCAGGGAGCCUGGGCCAGGCCACGCCCACACGGGCUGCUGAAGGGGACUCAGGGACGGGUCACCCGAAACCUGCCCUCCGGGAGCUCUGUGUCCUGCGUCAGGGAUUUCCUCCAAGUUACAGACACCUGUCCUCUCACCUCCUGCCUCACUGGUCCCUGCUGCCCAGAGAGACCCUCCCCUCCCCGGACCUCCUUUGCCCUUGGACACUCCUUGAGGCUUCCAGGUCCUUACAGGGCACCCCGAGGGGUGGGCAUAGACCAUGACCAGGCAGAGAAGCAGCAGACAGAGAGCCGGAGACAGUGAAGGGACUGACAUGGAGGCUGGCGCCCGGGCCUGGGACAGUUGCCUGCUGGACAAGGACACCUUCCUGGAAAACUUCCACCUUGAGUGGUGGCCAAAUAAGGCCUACCUCUGCUACGAGACGGAGCUCCCCAGCGGUGACCCCGGGGUUCCUCUGGGCCAACACAAGGACAUCCUGUGCAAUAAGCAAAUGACACAACCCUUUCCUGCCUCCUCUGUGCUCGGCCUGCCCGGGGAGGUCAGCCGGGCUGCCGCACGGAGUUGUGCCGGCUGCAGCGGAUCCAGGCCUGGGAGCUGCUUUCUGUCCUGGAGAACAGACACGUGACCCUGCACCCCUUCGCCUCCCGCCUCUAUACCGAGGAAGGAUUUCAGAAUGGGUUGCGCCUCCUGCGGGGGGCCGGGGCCCGCAUCGCCAUCAUGACCUCCACGGAGUUUGAGCACUGCUGGGAACCCUUCAUGGACACCCAAGGAAGAGCCUUCGAGCCCCUGGACACGCUGGUCUCCCAGAGUCAGGACCUCGCUGAGACGCCACAGGUCACAUAAAGCCUGAAAGGUGGGCCUCAGUCCCGCUAAGAACUCAGGAGGCCUCUGUUGGACAGCAGAAUAAAACACUUCCUCCCAAGAAAUGUACACUUGCCCUUCACCGCAAUCCCCAGAUUGAUGUAAUGAAGCCAGCAGAAGGCAAUGAGCCCAGAGCAAAUAGUCUUAAAAAAAAAAAAAAAAAAAAAGAACUGAGUAGGUUUGCUUGUCAUUGAAAAUCUUCUGUUCCAAAUAUACAUCAUGAAGAUUGCACUCAGCGCUGUCAGAAGAGUUUUCAGAGUUUAGAGAAGUAAUUACUGUAAUUGAUUCUGGGCAACCCUUAUGGCCAGGGAUCUAGAGACCAAAAACCUCCUCCUACAAGCCAUCCUGUCAGCAGCACUGAAUGGAAGUGACAGCCACGCUCUGCAAGAGAAGAGGAAGGAGUCUACUGGAGAGGAACCUCCCCUCUGAGGUCAGGUGGGGGCGGGAGGCUCUCUAGUCCUCACCCCUCCUGACUGGCCUGCCCCGAGAGGAAGCCAGAAGGAGGGACUUCCAUGCCCAGAAGGCGAGCUCUGCCCCUUCCUGACACAGGGCACUCGGUGCACAGACAAGGGACUGGACGCACAGGGGACUGGGACCGGCACCCAGGCGGGAUCCCUCCCCCCCC